RNAcentral lists this ribosomal RNA (301 nucleotides) under uncultured bacterium. RNAcentral's name for it is "partial 16S ribosomal RNA". It matches the Rfam family "Bacterial small subunit ribosomal RNA", at positions 509 to 807 of the family's 1533-position model. The record is from RNAcentral.
CAGCCGCCGCGGUAAUACGAAGGGUGCAAGCGUUAAUCGGAAUUACUGGGCGUAAAGCGUGCGCAGGCGGUGUUGUAAGACUGAUGUGAAAUCCCCGGGCUCAACCUGGGAACUGCAUUGGUGACUGCAACGCUGGAGUGCGGCAGAGGGGGAUGGAAUUCCGCGUGUAGCAGUGAAAUGCAUAGAUAUGCGGAGGAACACCGAUGGCGAAGGCAAUCCCCUGGGCCUGCACUGACGCUCAUGCACGAAAGCGUGGGGAGCAAACAGGAUUAGAUACCCGCGUAGUCCCUGUCUCUUAUAC